This 75-nucleotide antisense RNA is filed under the name Streptomyces albidoflavus. Its description in RNAcentral is "ASpks". It matches the Rfam family "ASpks TB sRNA". Lineage: Bacteria; Bacillati; Actinomycetota; Actinomycetes; Kitasatosporales; Streptomycetaceae. RNAcentral also lists the same sequence under 1 other name. The record is from RNAcentral.
CUUGACCGAGCCGAGCAGCAGCGGCUGCCCCUCGGGCCGGUCCUGCCCGUACGUCGCCAGCAGGGCCUGGGCCUC